AUUGAACGCUGGCGGCAGGCCUAACACAUGCAAGUCGAGCGGAUGAAGGGAGCUUGCUCCUGGAUUCAGCGGCGGACGGGUGAGUAAUGCCUAGGAAUCUGCCUGGUAGUGGGGGGUAACGUCCGGAAACGGGCGCUAAUACCGCAUACGUCCUGAGGGAGAAAGUGGGGGAUCUUCGGACCUCACGCUAUCAGAUGAGCCUAGGUCGGAUUAGCUAGUUGGUGGGGUAAAGGCCUACCAAGGCGACGAUCCGUAACUGGUCUGAGAGGAUGAUCAGUCACACUGGAACUGAGACACGGUCCAGACUCCUACGGGAGGCAGCAGUGGGGAAUAUUGGACAAUGGGCGAAAGCCUGAUCCAGCCAUGCCGCGUGUGUGAAGAAGGUCUUCGGAUUGUAAAGCACUUUAAGUUGGGAGGAAGGGCAGUAAGUUAAUACCUUGCUGUUCUGACGUUACCAACAGAAUAAGCACCGGCUAACUUCGUG
This 484-nucleotide ribosomal RNA is filed under the name uncultured bacterium. RNAcentral's name for it is "partial 16S ribosomal RNA". It matches the Rfam family "Bacterial small subunit ribosomal RNA", at positions 30 to 507 of the family's 1533-position model. The record is from RNAcentral.